UAGGGAAUCUUCCGCAAUGGACGAAAGUCUGACGGAGCAACGCUGCGUGAGUGAAGAAGGAUUUCGGUUCGUAAACUCUGUUGUUAGGGAAGAAAAAAUGUAUAGUAACUAUAUACAAAAGAGACGGUACCUAACCAGAAAGCCACGGCUAACUACGUGCCAGCAGCCGCGGUAAUACGUAGGUGGCAAGCGUUGUCCGGAAUUAUUGGGCGUAAAGCGCGCGCAGGUGGUUUAGAAAGUCUGAUGUGAAAGCCCACGGCUCAACCGUGGAGGGUCAUUGGAAACUAAUAAACUUGAGUGCAGGAGAGAAAAGUGGAAUUCCUAGUGUAGCGGUGAAAUGCGUAGAGAUUAGGAGGAACACCGGUGGCGAAAGCGGCUUUUUGGCCUGCAACUGACACUGAGGCGCGAAAGCGUGGGGAGCAAACAGG
This 428-nucleotide ribosomal RNA is filed under the name Verrucomicrobiota bacterium. RNAcentral's name for it is "Verrucomicrobia bacterium partial 16S ribosomal RNA". It matches the Rfam family "Bacterial small subunit ribosomal RNA", at positions 355 to 776 of the family's 1533-position model. The record is from RNAcentral. Lineage: Bacteria; Pseudomonadati; Verrucomicrobiota.